CAUUUCUUGGCUGUGGUGUGGUGGUGUUGGUUGUUUCUGGCCGUCGUGCUAUUGUCUGUCGCCGUCAUUGCGUGAUCUAUUGAUGGGAUUCGGAAUUAUUCGUCGUCUGCGAGGGCGGUGUGCCUUUUGUUUUAUGGCUGAUCGGGUCCGUGGUCGUGGAAGUCGUUGUGGUAGCCGUGGUGGUUGUGGUCGUCGGGCCGGUGCCCGUGUUCGUGAUCGUGGGGGCGGUCGUGGUGGUCGGCGCGGCGAAGUGGCUUACGUGGUUGGCUCUUCUGUCGGCCAUGUGGGGACGUCGUCGUCUGCAGCAGCGUUGGUUGGCUCAGGUGCUUUGGUGCCAUCUUCUCGUGGUUUGCUGAUCGGUAUGUGGAGUGCUUGGGUGUUUUGUUGUUUAAUUCUUUUGUAUGUAGUGGUCUCUUCUUUCGCCAUGAAUUUGGUUGGAGUUUUCAUAUUAGGGAAUAUGGUCCUCGGGCAAAUCAGAAGAAGCGGUUGCGCCAAUUGAGGGAGCGCUUAUUUGGUUAGUAUCUUGCUGUUAGGUUGUGUCUUUGUUUUUCAUUUCCUCUCUUCUCGGUUUUGUGUUACGUUUCCUUGCGGUCGUGUUUCUCGUCUUGCCCAGGUCCAUCUAUAUGUCGAUCCAUUGGCGGUGGUUGUCCCGUGCUCAGUAAGGAGUACAUUUAUACGUGAAAGGUGGGUUACGGUUGUUAUGAUUGAUUUGGUGUUGCGAUCUUGGUGGCUAGGCGUUCCAUUUUUUUUCCAGGUAGUCUUCAUGGCAGGUCACAUCAUGGAGGUCUGGAUUACAUGUGUGCUUUUUGCGGCGCUUUGUUUUGGUAUUCGGAGAGAGUUGUUGGUGGCAGUGUGCAUGGCAAUGUGCUCUACAAUCUUUGUUGCAAGGGUGGUCGUGUGUGCUUACCACUGUAUAAGGAGUGGCCAUCUCCGUUGAGAGAACUUGUCAGUUUCAGCGGGGGUUCACGUGUCAGGGAAUUUAUGAGGCUUAUUCGCUCAUAUAACUCAUUGUUUGCGUUCACUUCGAUGGGAGUUGCGGUUGACAAGAGUACUAACACUGGUGAUGGUCCGUAUGUUUUUCGUAUUUGUGGCAAAGUGCAAUACUUAUUGGGACCUUGGUGCUUCCGCCUGAAAAGAACCCGUGUUUUGCGCAGUUGUAUGUCUAUGACACCAACAAUGAGCUCCGUAAUCGUCUUGAUGUGUUUGGAGUGGUCGGCGAGUGCAAGGACCGGCCUGAUGCUCAUAUUGUUGCUUCAUUGACUAAGAUGCUUAAUGCACAACGUGUUGGUUCGAACGUUUCGUAUGGCCUCUCAUCGUGUGUGUUCUCCGGUUUGUCCGAAUUUGGCUAUAAGGAUUGUUGGAUCGGGGUCGUCGGAUCCCAAUGUUUAUAGUCCUCCUGCUUCGUCCGAGUUGGCUGCUCUUGUUGUGGGCGAUUUUACUGCGGAGCGGUGUAAGUUUGAUAAUGUUGUUCAGCGGCAGGAUGGCCCGUUGACGCAUGUUUCUGAAUUGCAUCCGGCGUUAAUGGCCUUACAGUAUCCUUUGCUGUUUCCGUAUGGCGAGAAGGGGUUCUAUAUUGGCAUGAAGUAUGUUUCUGUUGGUGGUCGUGAUUCUCGGCGGGAUGAGGUGUCCAUGCUCGAGUACUAUUCGUAUCGAUGCCAUUAUAGACUGAACCAGCCUAACCCGUAUCUAUGUUGCGGUAGUCUUUCUGAUCAGAUAAAGGUCGAUGCUUAUUCAUGUGUCGAGUGGACAGGCCUUUCUUUGUUCUUCGGAACCAAGAAAAGUUGCGAGGCGAGUCGUAUCAGGGUUUGGUGGACGCCAUUGGGCAAGGUUCUUCCUCUGGCAAGAAUUUUGGCGUUAGGGUUUUGCUUCGGGCGAGUUUUGUUGGUUCUCGCCGUUAUAUGGCUCAGAAUUACCAGGAUGCGAUGGCAAUCUGCAGGUUCUAUGGUGCUCCUGAUCUGUUUGUGACGUUCACCUGCAACCCUAAGUGGGAUGAGAUUGCUGAUGCUUUGAGGCUUGAGCCUGGUCUGGCGCCGGCUGAUAGAUCCGAUCUGGUUUCACGUGUUUUUAGGAUGAAAUUGGAUGAGCUAUAUGAUGAUGUUAAGGGUGGCUCUGUGUUUGGUCCUGUCCGUGCAGGUGAUGUGUUAUUUCACGUGCUUUUCGGAUUUUUUUCGUAUUUGCGUAUUUUCUUUUUGUGCACUCUUGGCUCAUAUUUGUUUUCUUGUGUGCGGUGCGGCUCUUUACACGGUGGAGUUUCAAAAGCGCGGACUUCCGCAUGCGCAUAUGCUUGUGUGGCUGGAAGGUGGUCAACGUUUUUCUGUCGAAUAUGUCUCUGAUUUGCCUCCGAGCGCUAUUGAUGCUGUUAUAUCCGCUGAGCUUCCGGAUGUUUUUCUCGAUCCUUUGCUCUACGCUCUUGUUGAUGAGUUUAUGGUGCAUUGGCCUUGUGGAAGGAUGAAUGCACGUUGUCCUUGUAUGAAGGAUGGUGUUUGUUCGAAGCGAUAUCCUAAGAGUUUUCAUUCUUCGACAGUUGUUGAUAACGAUGGGUAUGUCACCUAUAGAAGGCGUGAGGAUAAUCCUUUUGUUAUGAAGUGUGUGCAUCGUCUUGAUAAUAGAUGGGUUGUUCCUUAUAAUGCUUGGCUUCUUAGGAAGUUGCAUGCUCAUAUAAAUGUUGAGUGGUGCAACAAGACUCAUUUGGUCAAGUAUUUGUUCAAGUACGUGCACAAAGGACUUGAUCGUGCGAAGGCUAAGGUAUUUGUUCCUUCGGGUUCUGGCGAUGGUGAGUCGUCUUUGCAUUUAUCGUCCAUGCCUUCUCGUGAUUUGCCUUGUGUGGACGGGGCUGCUGAGGCAGUGAUGGUCGCAUCUUUGUCGGAUGCCUCCCUUGUGGUCGUAAAAGGUGUUGAUGAGGUUGAGGAAUAUUUGAGUUGCAGAUAUUUGUCCUCUUGCGAAGCUAUUUGGAGGUUGUUUGCUUUUGAUCUGCAUGUUUGGUUUCCUUCUGUGGAGCGUCUUUAGAUCCAUCUUCCUGGUAUGAACAGAUUGACAUAUUCUGAGGAUGAUGAUAUUGCCAAUGUUGUUGGGAGGGAAGGUGCUAGGAAAAGUUCUCUUAUAGAGUGGUUUGCUAUGAAUCGCGAGCAUACAGAGUGUCGUGAUCUCAAGUAUUGUGAGUUCACAUCUAGAUAUACGUGGUAUCCUGAUGAGAAGAAAUGGGCUGCUCGUGGCAAGGGUUAUAAAGUUGGCAGAAUUCGAUAUGUACACCCUACCCCUGGUGAGUUGUUUUAUUUGCAGAUGCUUUUGAUGACAGUUCAUGGGGCAUGUGGCUACAGGGAUCUUAAGACACAUAUGGGUAGGUACCAUCCUACUUUUCAUGAAGCAUGUCAGGCUAGGGGUCUUCUCGGUGAUGACAGUGAGUGGGAGCGUGUAUUUCAAGAGUCUGUUUUGUGGGCCACUCCGGGUCAGCCGCGUGAUCUUUUUGUUACCUUGCUUAUGUUUUGUGAUGUUGGAGAUGCUGGCUCUCUCUUCAAUAAGUUUUGGGGGUACAUGGCUGAGGAUCUCUCUUAUCGAAUACGUUCAGCUUUGCGAAAGCAGAUUAUGUGGUGCCAGAGUUUUUGUUACGCGUACAUUUGGUGAGAGAGUUGUCCAUUCUUUUCAAUAAUAAUGGUGGUUCUAUAGAGUCGUAUAAUCUUCCUGCUGUUGUAGCGCCUGAUGGAGGGUCUGCGAGGAACAGGUUGGUUUAUGAAGAGACGUGCUAUGAUGUGUCGGCCUUGAGAGCUGAGUGGGAGUUGCUCUAUUCUAGGCUUAACGAGGGGCAUCUGUUGGUUUACCACAGUAUUCUAGAUUCUGUUGAGGUGCGGAAGCCAGGUGUUUCGUUCGUGUCGGGUUAUGGUGCUACCGGGAAGACGUUUUUGUGGAAAACUUUCGCUGCUAGGUUGCGAUCUCAAGGAAGGAUUGUUCUUGUUGUUGCUUCUUCUGGUGUUGCUGCUUGGUUGCUUCCUGGUGGUUGUACGGCUCAUUCAUGUUUUCACAUUCCCGUGGAUGUUGAUGGUAAGUCGUUUUGUGCUAUUGGUUGUGGUACCAUGGUUGCUGAUCUUAUUAGACAGACUUCGUUGAUUCUGUGGGAUGAGGCUCCUAUGACUCAUAGGAGAUGCUUUGAGUGUCUUGAUCGCACUCUCAGAGAUGUGCUGUCUGCGGACAAUGGAUUCAACUCGACCCUUGUCUUUGGAGGUCUUCCUGUUGUGUUGGGCGGUGAUUUCCGUCAGGGUUUGAGUAUAUUCAGCCUUGAUGUUAAUAUGAGAUUGCAGUCUCAUGGGUUGUCUGAUGAGGAGCGGGUGUUGAUGUCCAGUUUUGGUACAUGGGUUCUUGACGUGGGUGAUGGCCUGCUGCCCACCCGUGUUCAUAAGGACGACCCUGAACGCUGUUGAGUGGAUAUACCUGAUUGUUUUCUCAUUAAAUGCGGUCAAGACAAGGUUGCUGCUAUA
This is an RNA transcript of Brachypodium distachyon (stiff brome), 4469 nucleotides long. RefSeq lists it as uncharacterized. The record is from RefSeq and is a predicted model, not a curated record. NCBI's taxonomy places the organism in Eukaryota, Viridiplantae, Streptophyta, Magnoliopsida, Poales, Poaceae. The transcript has 4 exons.